AUUGAACGCUGGCGGCAUGCCUUACACAUGCAAGUCGAACGGCAGCACGGGUGCUUGCACCUGGUGGCGAGUGGCGAACGGGUGAGUAAUACAUCGGAACAUGUCCUGUAGUGGGGGAUAGCCCGGCGAAAGCCGGAUUAAUACCGCAUACGAUCUACGGAUGAAAGCGGGGGACCUUCGGGCCUCGCGCUAUAGGGUUGGCCGAUGGCUGAUUAGCUAGUUGGUGGGGUAAAGGCCUACCAAGGCGACGAUCAGUAGCUGGUCUGAGAGGACGACCAGCCACACUGGGACUGAGACACGGCCCAGACUCCUACGGGAGGCAGCAGUGGGGAACUUUGGACAAUGGGCGAAAGCCUGAUCCAGCAAUGCCGCGUGUGUGAAGAAGGCCUUCGGGUUGUAAAGCACUUUUGUCCGGAAAGAAAUCCUUGGCUCUAAUACAGUCGGGGGAUGACGGUACCGGAAGAAUAAGCACCGGCUAACUACGUG
This 486-nucleotide ribosomal RNA is filed under the name uncultured bacterium. Its description in RNAcentral is "partial 16S ribosomal RNA". It matches the Rfam family "Bacterial small subunit ribosomal RNA", at positions 30 to 507 of the family's 1533-position model. The record is from RNAcentral.